AGCGUGCCUCUUUCGAGGCUGUUUAAAUGGAUUCACAUUGUGCAACUCGACGGCAUAAAUCCAUUUAAGUCGUUCGAAAGAGGCUGGCUGU
This is a non-coding RNA of Apis mellifera (honey bee), 91 nucleotides long. The record is from RefSeq and is marked provisional. Lineage: Eukaryota; Metazoa; Arthropoda; Insecta; Hymenoptera; Apidae.